AAGAAUAAGAAAUACACACUAAGGGAGUCAAAAUUAAAGUACUUGAAAGACAGGCAAAUAUAAGCCCUGCAGUAUGAGGUCAUAAGCCCUGCAGUAUGAGGUCACAAAACAGGAGAUGGUGUCUGAGGAACUCUCUGAAAAUAUUUGCAAGUGACAGAAGCAUACACGGAGUCAAUUCUCUGCUGGCCUCUGUAGAGAGCACUGAGAAUUGACUGAGCAACUUUUACAAAUGUGGGUUCACACAGUAUUUCCUAUAACCCAGUGUUAAGAGAUCGACCAUAAAGUGAAAACCUGCAUCAAAAAGAACAUGCAGAAGAGAGGAUGGCUGAAGAUUUCUAAAGAAAACCCAAAUGCAGUGCAUUGAAAAGGAUACAUUUUAAUACCUCAACAAGAGUUGGGAUCUCUAAAAUGUUGGCAGUAUCAGUGGAUUUUACAGGUUGUGAGGGCCAUCAACUUAAUCCUGCUGCAGAAGAUCAUCCAUCUGGGAGACCUAGACCCAAUCGUGGCUGGAUUUGCUGCCCUGGGGUUCCCGAACUGUACCGGAGCCUCUGGCCGGGUGGUGACAGGGGUCUCCAGGCCGGAGUCCAUGAGGACAGGUAGUGACAAGGGCAGCUGCAGCAUGCGCAACCUUCCACUUUGACAUUCCACAAAUGCAAGAGAGUAAGGCAAGAAAGAACCUCUGCUCUGUCUGGGAAGACACAGCUGGAAAAAAGCAACUCUUUAGGAGACAGCAAUAAAAUAUAUUUGUAGUAUAUGCAGGUAAUUAAAGAACUGCUGCUUAAUCCUGCCCAUAGAUUUAAUAGUGUCUAAAAGAUUUUAAAUAAGUUAGGGACGUUUUAACAUUCCUCUGAGAGAUGAGUCCAUGUUCAACCUUGAAUUGCAUAAUUAAAAAUCUCUUUGAUCUGCAAGACCCAGAAAAUUGAUUAUAGUAAAUUACAGUCAGAAUAGCCGACCACUUGAUGCUAUGAAUAAUGCAGGAAGACUUCAAGACCAAGAGAUUUACCAUGUCUGGAUAUUGUAAGUGCACAGAGAAAUGGCAGCUGUAGUCACAUAAAACAGAAGCACCUGCUAAGCAAGAACAGGAAUGAUAUGUGAUUCUCCACCUCAUUUAAAAUCAUGUUUAGUGGCACCAUUCACAGAGUUUUAGCACUAACGUGAAUGUUGUACAGGCUUAGAAAAUGAAAACUAAGCUUGUUUGAGGGUCCAUAAAACCCUCCAUAAAACAAAAUUCAAGCUGAAAAACAUUUAAAAAAAGAGUAGAUACUGUAAAUUGAAGGUUAAAAGGGUUAGAUAUGUAUAGACUUUAAUGUGAUUCAAAGGGAUAGUUUGCAUUAACUGUUCAUACUAGAUCAAGAAAAGGGUAAGGUACCUAAAAAUAAAUUGAUCUAGGAGAGAGAAACACAACCUAUUGUGACUUCAGUGUCACUGUAUUCAUUUAUUUACAUUACAUGUUGCACAUAUUAGUACUGUAGUAUGCACCAGCAUAGCAAAAUUAAAUCUCAAUGUGCAAAGAACAGGAAGAACCGUUUCUUUAAUAAAUAAAUCACUUUAAUAGCUUUAGUAGUUAAUUCAGAUUAGAUCCCUACUGCUAGCCUUCCCUUCUGCCACCCAAAAUAUCAUUGUAUCAUGUGACUAUUGCAGCAUCCCAGAGAAGAUUACAAUUCCUAAUUCUGAUGAACCAAGAGGAAUGAUGCUGGGGAAUGAGGAGUAGUCAGUUUCAAAGCUAAGGUUGUCUCACUGAUAAUGCCUAACCAUUGACCAUUUCUAAUGUAGACCAAUGGGAUUUUACCUCAGCUGCUCACACCUGCAUUAUAUCACAUGAGGAGAGCAUUAGGCUUUAAGUCCCAAACCAUUAUGAGUCUGCAUAUAUGCGUACAUAUAAAACACAAUUAGAGAAAACACCACCAAUGUCCCAAACGUCUGUCAGCAAGUCAGUGGCCACAACAAGCCAAAAGAGCUUCAGUGUCCUAUAGAAAGCUGUACUGCUUUAUGCAAUGAUAGGAACAUUCUCUAAUCCAAGUUUGAGGUGUGAAAAGCAUAGAUGACUAUGGCAAUAUGUGAGGGAAGUGGUGCAUAUGGGAUACAGACCUUAUAGACACUUGAAUUCUUUUUCAUUCUUAGAAGCAUAGAACAGGAAGGGACCUCAAGAGGUCAUUGAGUACAUUUUUCUGACCUCACAGCAGGACCA
This is a non-coding RNA of Pelodiscus sinensis (Chinese soft-shelled turtle), 2188 nucleotides long. The record is from RefSeq and is a predicted model, not a curated record. NCBI's taxonomy places the organism in Eukaryota, Metazoa, Chordata, Testudines, Trionychidae.